UAAAAAAAAUGAAAAAGAAGAACAAUUCAAGUCAUUAAAAACAUAAUAUUCCCACAAACAGUGUAUCAUAAUGUAUGAAGAUAAUCAAGGUGUAAAUCUCUAUUGUAGAGAUCUAUGAAAACAACAUCAAAUUAACUGAUUACUCUAUUCCCUUUAAAAUAUGUUUAAUUUAUCAUUGAAGUUUAGUUCUCAAAAAAUUUCAAAGAAUAGUGUAUGAAUAUAACUAAUCAUGAUUCUUUAUAAAGUAAUUACCAUUAUAGAGAUUCCUGUUAAAAUAAAAUGUUAACACUUCUUCUCUACUACUCUAAUCUUCUCUCUCUCCUACUCCUUCUAUUCCCACCAUCUCUCUCUCGACUUAGGGGCUAGCCCCCUCUUUCCUAUCCCCAAUAUCAAUAGUUACAGAAUUUCUGAAGAUCUGAAGAUUGAGGUUGCUCCUGAUAGGAACUCUAACAAUUAAAAUUUCUAUUCGUUCCAUGUAGAGGUAAAAGUAGAGCAACAAAAUUGUGGAAGAGGAAGAAGAUUAUGGAAUAGAGUGGAGAAGAAAGUAUUAUUUUUAUCAUACUUUGUUUGUUUUUUUGUUUUAUGAUGAAUUUUGGAACAAAGAAGAAGAAGAUUAUGGAGCCUUUAACUACAUAAUGCAUAUUAGCAGUUAAUCAUGGGAUUUUCCCACUAAAUAAUGGUUUGUGCUUUUCAAAAAAUACAGUUUUGAUAUUGGAGAAGUUAUUGAUGUGAAGAUCUACGUUUCUCUAUUGAUUUUUUUUUGUUUUUCCCUUAUUUUUUUCCUUUUUCUUAUUUUAUUGGAUGUAAUUUGUUGUAUUUAGUGAGGGUAAAAUAGGAUUUCAAUAUUUUGGUGUCCCCCCUCUCUUCCCAUAUAGAAUAGAGAUACUGUAA
Beta vulgaris subsp. vulgaris (sugar beet) is the source of this 891-nucleotide long non-coding RNA. RefSeq lists it as uncharacterized. NCBI's taxonomy places the organism in Eukaryota, Viridiplantae, Streptophyta, Magnoliopsida, Caryophyllales, Amaranthaceae. The transcript is spliced from 2 exons. The record is from RefSeq and is a predicted model, not a curated record.